RNAcentral lists this ribosomal RNA (497 nucleotides) under uncultured bacterium. Its description in RNAcentral is "partial 16S ribosomal RNA". It matches the Rfam family "Bacterial small subunit ribosomal RNA", at positions 28 to 507 of the family's 1533-position model. The record is from RNAcentral.
GAUGAACGCUGGCGGCGUGCCUAAUACAUGCAAGUCGAGCGAACGGACGAGAAGCUUGCUUCUCUGAUGUUAGCGGCGGACGGGUGAGUAACACGUGGAUAACCUACCUAUAAGACUGGGAUAACUUCGGGAAACCGGAGCUAAUACCGGAUGAUAUUUUGAACCGCAUGGUUCAAAAGUGAAAGACGGUCUUGCUGUCACUUAUAGAUGGAUCCGCGCUGCAUUAGCUAGUUGGUAAGGUAACGGCUUACCAAGGCAACGAUGCAUAGCCGACCUGAGAGGGUGAUCGGCCACACUGGAACUGAGACACGGUCAAGACUCCUACGGGAGGCAGCAGUAGGGAAUCUUCCGCAAUGGGCGAAAGCCUGACGGAGCAACGCCGCGUGAGUGAUGAAGGUCUUCGGAUCGUAAAACUCUGUUAUUAGGGAAGAACAUAUGUGUAAGUAACUGUGCACAUCUUGACGGUACCUAAUCAGAAAGCCACGGCUAACUGCGUG